AUGCACAGAGUGGGGUGUUUGGGUUUGGGAACCUCUCCAUGCCCAAGCUCUCAGCUGCAGCAUUCCCCCAUGGCCGUAGGAGCGGGCACGUUUCUCUCAAUUACCUCCCCGAUGGCCUCGUUCCAGCAACAAUUAGCAGCCUGAGAGGGACUCUGGUGUCCUGCCUUACAGCUUCCUAAUAUAAUUACCGCAGCAAAUGAGCAGCGAAUUAAAUCAAGGAGAAAGGCAGGGGGAGGAACCCGUUGUGUGUGCUGCCAGGGGUCAGCGCUCUGCUUGUCUCAAGGCAAAAAGGCACCACUUGGGCCCUGCCCAGCCAGGCACCCCCAGCCUGGGGACCCUCCUGCCGAGCUGGAAGGAUGCUGCAGUGGUGAUUUACCCUGGGCAUCCUGCGUGCCAUCAUCCCCACCGCCAGGGGUGAAGCUGUCACCUUCCCAACUGGCCGUCCUGCUGCUGAAAGGCACAAAAUGUGCAAGGCUUCCCCUUCGCCCACUGCCCUGACCUGCAGACCUUGGCUGAAAACCGUGAACAAACCUCUCGGAAGGCAGGGCUGGAGCAUCGGGACCUCGGAGGGAUUGUUUGGAUUGUUUUACAGAGAUUGACCAUCUGCUGAAUUAUUUAGAGAAGUAAAUACAAGGCUCGGGAGGGAGAGCCCUGCCCCUGCCUGCGCGGGGCUGGGGGAGCUUGGCAAAGUCUCCGUGCUUUCUGCAAGGCUUUGGGGAGGGGGCACCCAAAAAAUGAGGGGUCCGUGGACCAUGGGGGGCUGAAGCCAGUGACCACCUUGGGCAGCCUUUGCAUUGGAAUGGAUGUUUAGCAGUGACAGGGGCAGCUCCAGGACUCAUUGCUGGUGGGUGUCAGGCUGCCUGCCCCUUCCCCGUUCCCUUCAGCCCCUUCCCCUGCUCCUGCUGGUGCCUGACCCCAUCCCACAGCAUCUCCCCGGAGCCCUGGUGUGAUGCCAGCCAGGGAACGAGCCAAGAACCUGCUGCCAGCGGCUCGGUUUGUAGUUCCUGGCUUGCUCUGGGAUUUCUUAGGCUGGAGGCAGGGAAGGGCUAUGCCUUUUUCUUGCAUCAGUGCAAAAGGACAAGAGGUGCCUUGCUGGCCAAGUGGGGCAUAAAGCAGGCUGUUCUCCCACGGGCAGAACAGGGAAAAUAGUUCUCCACAGCCCCUCUGUUCAGCAGCUGGGACGGAGCUGUGCACCCUGAGGAAGAAGAGCCCUGUGGAGAGGAAGGUCGGGCUCUCGCUUGGACUUACACCGGCCGCAAAGGGGUCCGGAGCCCCUCGCUCCCCUUCCCCAGAGUCGUGGGCACCGGGAGCGCAAAGAAGGGAGCAAGUCCUGCGCACACAUCCUCUGCCCCGCAGGUUUCUGCUCCCCGAAGGAUUAAUUUGCGCAGGGAGAGGUUUGCAGCGGAGCUGACGUUAAUAACAGGCUGAGUUAGAGCCCCGCCGCGGAGCGGGAUGUUAAUGGCUCUGCGCGGCGAUGGAAGGGGGCUGUUAUUGAAAACGAUCUCUGGGCUGUUGGGUUUUGCUGAACCCUGGAAUUACAAGGAGUUUGUGGGGAGGUCAGAUCUCCCCUGCCGCCACGGCAGGCAGGGGGGACGGAUGGCUGCUGCCCCAGCCCGGCUGCACUAAGGGGUGGUCAGGACACCAAAACCCCAGGAAAAUAUUCAUAUCUGCAGCCUGGCAAUGGGAUAAACCUUGAUUUUUCCUACUGGGCUGUGCAUGUGCUCUGGCAUAGCUUGGAAAAUCACAGCAUUGGUCCUGAGCACCUGUGAAGGUGCAGGGAAGGGGGGUGCAGGGGUGGGGGAUGCUGCAGAAGGGGGGUGCUGCAGGAAAGGGGACACAGCACUGCUGGGGAGCAGCCCACCGACGAGAUGCCACACAUGCCAUCCCCUCAAUGCCAUCUCACCCGCAGGUCCCCUCCCUGAGCAGAGCACCGAGACUCCUGGUGGCUGCGGUUUUUACGGCUGCCCAUAAACAGUCCCCUCCAUCUCUCUCUCCAUUUUUAAUUACCUAGAAAAUAACCUCCAUUCAAUUUACAGCUCAUUUGAAGCUACGAGCAAGGGCCCAUAAAUAUUUAAUGUGUUUAGAAGUGGCACCAACUGUCCAGGGUUUUUUUUCUUUUCACUUUUCCAGGAGUCGCCUUUGGUUUAGCAUAUUUACACCCCCCGUCUUUUACUUCUCCACCCAGAACCUCCUGUGAAUAAAGAAGCAGGAGGUAAAAGACAGCUGGCCAAGGGCUCGACCCCCACGUUUUCUUAGGAGAGAUGGACUGAAAUUGGUGUUCAGGGCAGCUUCUCCUCUAACUAGGGCAAUUAAUAGGAACAUCUCCGGGCUUCCUGAGCAUCCCGAGAGCCCUCUUGCUCUCUGACACCUCCUCCCCGGGUUGUUCUUGGCUCCCCAGUGCACGGAGCCAGCUCUGCAGCCUGGCAGCCAGCGCCGCUGGGUUAAAUGAGGUUUUGCUAGCAAAAGGGGAUGGCACGCCGGGAUUGCUGCCUUCUAAUUGUGGCUGCGUGUAGGAGCCGGUAGCUAGCAGAGAAUUCAGCCUGAAAUCUGACCUGCCCUACUUGCAAAGCUGUUUUUUUUCUUUAAAUUAAUAGUUGUUGCAGCUCAGAAGAAUGCCCAGGAAUUUCUGUUGAUGCCGUGGUUUCAGCCACCGGGGUCCCAGCAGAAGCUGGGAGUGGGGUGAUGGGGUUGCCAGUUCCCAGGUUUUGCCUUCAGAAAUCCCUUGGAAAUGGGGAUUUGCUCCUGCGUGCCACAACCCAGCACUAAAAUCAAACAUUUUCUGCCCAAAAGCAAACUUCUGCCUGCCUGUGAAAGUUUCUGAAGUCUUGACAACUGCUCCAAGUCCUGACUAUUGCACCAAAAAGCAACUUCUGCUCCCGGAUUUUUGUGGGCUCACCCAGAACAUACUUGGGUUGCGUGUAUUAAUUACUACAACACAUAUUUUAUUGUAACAUAAUAGAUAUACUUACUGUACGAGGAGUGACAGCAUUUAUUAAUUAUGCACAAGCGGGCCUAGGAAACAGAUUUGUUUGCUUUGAUGUCUAAUGCGGCAGACUUUUUUUUUCUGCUUGUUAAACUUAAUCAAAAGCAAUCAAAACGCGCUCCCAUAAAUUAUGGCAAAUUAAUUUCAAACAAAAGGGAAAAAAUAUUAGGUAACA
Cygnus olor (mute swan) is the source of this 3158-nucleotide long non-coding RNA. RefSeq lists it as uncharacterized. The record is from RefSeq and is a predicted model, not a curated record. Lineage: Eukaryota; Metazoa; Chordata; Aves; Anseriformes; Anatidae. The transcript has 2 exons.